AGGACGAACGCUGGCGGCGUGCUUAACACAUGCAAGUCGAGCGGUAAGGCCCUUUCGGGGGUACACGAGCGGCGAACGGGUGAGUAACACGUGAGUAAUCUGCCCUCCACUUGGGGAUAAGCUUCGGAAACGGGGUCUAAUACCUGAUACGACAACUACCUGCAUGGGUUGGUUGUGGUAAAGUUUUUUCGGUGGGGGAUGUGCUCGCGGCCUAUCAGCUUGUUGGUGGGGUAAUGGCCUACCAAGGCUUCGACGGGUAGCCGGCCUGAGAGGGUGACCGGCCACACUGGGACUGAGACACGGCCCAGACUCCGUACGGGAGGCAGCAGUGGGGAAUAUGGACAAGUGGGCGAAGCCUGAUCCAGCAACGCCGCGUGAGGGAUGACGGCUUCGGUAUAACCUCUUUCAGUACCGACGAAGCGCCCGUUGGUGGUGGUGACGGUAGGUACGAGAA
Molecule: ribosomal RNA, 454 nt
Filed under: uncultured soil bacterium
Lineage: Bacteria
Description: bacterial SSU rRNA
Rfam family: Bacterial small subunit ribosomal RNA
Source: RNAcentral